UUAACGCUACUAGACGGAUAGCUUGGUUUGAAUCGCGAUAAAGGACGUGGCAAGCUGCGAUAAGCUCGGAUUAGGCGCAGGCAGCCUUUGAACCCGAGAUUUCCGAAUGCGAUAACGUUCUCAUAAGAGAAUGCCGAGAGGCAAGCAGACGCCGGGAAUUGAAACAUCUUAGUACCGGUAGGAAAAGAAAACAAUUGUGAUUCCCUAAUUAGCAGCGAGCGAAAGGGGAACAGGGCAAACCGAAUCUCCGUUUGAAAAGACGGCAGAGAUGUGGUGGAGAUAUGUGGCUAAAGUAUCGAGCUGAAGUUCUCUGGAACGAGGCACUUUAGAGGGUGAUAGUCCCGUAAGUGGAGAUACCAUGUCGCACUCCGACAGAGUAGGGCCCCCUAGAUAGGAGGUCCGAAUAUGGCUGGAUUAACAGCCAACCCUAAAUAUUGAUUCAAGUCCGAUAGCGAACUUAGUACCGCGAGGGAAAGCUGAAAAGUACUCUUAGUCGAGGGUUAAAAGACUUGAAAUCUAGUAGCCACAGCUGGUUACUGCUCGUAAAAGAGUUGUAACGUGCGUUUCGAAAAACGGGCCACGGAGUUAUUUUAUGUGGCGAGGUUAAUUUUAGAAGCCAAAGCGAAAGCGAGUCCUAAAGGGCGAUAGUCACGUGAAACAGACCCGAAGCCGGAUGAUCUACUUGUGAGCAGGAUGAAGUUCUCCGAAAGGAGAAUGGAGGUCCGAACUAGUGUUGUAUGCAUGCACUUGGAUGACUUGUGAGUAGGGGUGAAAAGCCUAUCUAAUUCGGCGAUGGCUGGUUCCUGUCGAAAUAUGCCUCAGUAUAGUCUUGCCUAGUUUGUUAACGGGGUAUAGUACGGAUUAAGUUUGCAGAGCCCACCGGCUACGGAACUAAUUCCAACUCAGAACCUGUUUUCGACUUACGGCAGGAAUCGGGGGCAGUGCGUAAGGUACUGUUCCGAGACCCGAACAAGGGAGACUGGAGUUAAGGUCCCAAAAUGUAUGCUCAGUGUAACAAACCUGGUCUUUAACCCGAGACAGUAGGGAUGUAGGCUUAGAAGCAGCCAUCAUUUAAAGAAAGCGUAACAGCUCACCUAUCGAGGUUAGAGGCGGGGAAAAUGGACAGGGCUAAGCAUACUACCGACACUUCAGAGGCGCUCGUAAGAGCGUUCUGGUAGACAGGCGUGUGUUCUGCGUAGAAGUUUUUUCGAGAGAAAGAAUCGAGCGGGACGCAAUGAGAAUCGUGGUGUUAGUAAGAUCAAAUUAUCCUGAGAACGGAUAGCGUCGAAAGAGCAAGGUUUCCUUGGCACUAUCGUUUAACCAAGGGUUAGUCGGCGCCUAAGCCAUAUCUUAACUGCGUAUGGCGAAUGGACAUCCGGUUAAUAUUCCGGAACUUGUUGUUUUCGUUUAGUGCACAUUUUUACUUAGGGAUAAGUAGCAUCUCGAGAGAGAUGUAGCGUGCGAAUGCUGUGGAGCGUAAUGCUAAGAUACAGCAGAAUCACGCUGGGCGACCUAUUGAAUCCUAGAGUCCAUGAAAAGUUUGUGUAUAGAAAGCAAUAAGCCGUACCAAGAAUCGGCACUGAUGCUCUAGCUGAGAAGGCUAAGACGUGAAAGGAAAAAUUGGUUAAGGGAACUCGGCAUAUUGGCCCCGUAUCUUCGGUAGAAGGGGUGUCUAUGGCUGUCUUUGAAUUAUCAGGGGCAGUUGUAGAUCGCAGUAACAAGGAUCGCCCGACUGUUUAUCAAAAACGUAGCCGGUUGCAAAUCUGAAAAGACUAGUAUAACCGGUGAGACCUGCCCAGUCGCGGUGUUUCAAACUCUGUUCCAACGGAGCUAAGACCCGUGAAACGGCGGGAGUAUCUAUGACUCUUAGCUUAAAGGGAGUCAAUAAACUUGGCUAUAUGCUGGAACCCCUAAUGAUUUUAAGAUAAUCAUUAAGUUAUAAUAUACGAAAUUUAUUUUCGUGAAAAUUAUUAUAGCAUAAGGGCAAUCAGCAGGAAACCAAAGAUUUAUUUACUUGACCUCUAUUAAAGGUCAUGAAUAAAGAACAGUUUAUAAGUUAUCUAUUAGGUUUUGUCGAUGGAGAAGGAUGUUUUUGCAUUUCAAUAAAGAACCAAAAAUCUGCAAAGAUGCAUUGGGUUCUUGAUCCCGUAUUUCAUAUAACUCAACACGAAAGAAGUAAAGAAAUAUUAUAUAAUUUCAAAAAAUUUCUUGGUUGUGGAGAAGUUAUUAAAAAAUAUGGACAAGAAGAUACUCUUUUACUUUUAGUACAUCGUAGAAGAGAUUUAGUAGACAAAAUAGUUCCUUUUUUCAGAAAAAAUAAAUUACUAUUAAAAAGAAAAACUUUUGAAUUAUUUGCAGAAGUUGUUGAAUCUUUAGAUCAGCAUGCCCAUGCAAAUGUAAAAGAUUUCAGAAAAUUAGUAAAGAAAGUUUUUCUAAUGAAUGGAGAAGGGAGAUAUAGAAAAUAUAAAUUAGAAGAUAUUCUAAAAUCUUUGGGAUCCUCAGAGACUAUACGCCAAGCAUCUAAAUAAGAUGAAGAUAUAGUCCGAUCUUUAUGGAAAACAUAAAGAGAUUAGUAGAAAUACUAAUUCGCCAUAAUUCAUAUUAUGGUUAGUAGCACUUUUUUUAGUGUGAAAGUAACAAAAUGCUUAAGGUAGCGUAAUGCCUUGUCGUCUGAAUGGCGACGUGCAUGAAUGGUUUAAUGUGGUGGUCACUGUCCCUAACCAAGACCUUCUGAACUUACUGAUCGGUGAAAAUGCCGAUGACGCCUAGUGGGAAGCGGAGACCUUGUGAACCUUUACUGCAACUUGUUGUUGUAGCUUUAAGGG
RNAcentral lists this ribosomal RNA (2825 nucleotides) under groundwater metagenome. RNAcentral's name for it is "bacterial LSU rRNA". It matches the Rfam family "Archaeal large subunit ribosomal RNA", at positions 15 to 2208 of the family's 2987-position model. The record is from RNAcentral.